UGCUUUUUUCUUCUCUGCAUUUGUUGUUUUUUUUUUACUUAGUUAAUGUUAUCCAUUUUAUUAGCAAAGGAAUAUGCACCUAUGUCGCAAUUGCAAUCAAACAAAUCUGAGUUCAGGUGGCUACGACCUGUUUGUGAAAAUCCCCGUAAGAGAUAUGGGGAUGUUUACGGAAUGUAUGAUAAAGGUUUUGUGCACCUGAAAAUUGUGGGAUAUGCAGUCUUUAGAUCAUUAUUUGCUCGUGUGAGUCAAUUUGCAUAGUCGGUUUUGUUAAUAGUUUGUUAAUGAGUUAUUGUGGCAAAUUCUGUGAGUUUGAGGCUAUUUGUUCUUAUCAAACACAUUUUAGCUGAUGCAUAUAUUUGGCUACCAAUUCCCACUUGAACUUUUACGGAUAUUUGCUUGUUUAUGAAAAUUUUCCAGACUUUGCUGCUUCAGGAAUGUACACUAGCUUUGUAGUUUACUCGUUGUUGUGUUGCCAAUUGCCUUACCCUUGUUAGCGUACUACCAAUCAUUCAGCUUCCAGAUUGACAGAGUGUAAUAAAUAAAUCUACUAAUAAGAAAAGUGAUGGCUCCGUCAGGCUUGAUUUCUUGUUGCAGAAACACAGGGUGCUGCUUGUUCUGGCUUAGACAGAGACUUGCAUGGUUACUUGGGAUGGCUUUCUCACACAAGCAAUUUUAGGUGCAUGCGGUGGACUGGACAAAUAAGAGACUUCCUCUGAGGCCAGCCUUCCGAUUGAAAAUGCUGGGUGCUUGGGUUUUGGAAUGACCACUGUGUCACUCGCCAGCAUUACAAGAACAUCCGACAUGGUUGGUCUAUCUCUUGCAUCUUCCUGAACACACAACAAACCAAUCUGUAUGCACCUCUCUACUUCACUGCCUAUAAAGGACUUUUCCAGCAUUGGAUCCAUCAUUUCCAAACAUUUUCCUUCAGACCAUGUUCUCCAAGCCUGCACAAGGAUUUGUAGUUUUUUAAUACUCAUAAGCCUUAGUUAUCUUAGCAUUGUUGAAUAAUCUCUUGACCACAUUAGAGUGAGACUUACGUAUACAAGGAGAGUUUGACCAUCUGACAUGUAGAAUCCACCGUUCUUUCUCCCGCAAAUGAUUUCUAGAACAAGAACUCCAAAACUGAAAAUAUCAGAUUUCACUGAAAAUAGUCCAUCCAUAGCAUAUUCAGGAGCCAUGUAUCCACUGAUAGAAAUCAAUAGAGCUUUGUUAUUAUCUCGAGUCAUGGAACAUAUAGCAAAGAAUUCCAGUUCAGAAUAAUAAAGUACUAAAAUAUGCAUUGAUAAACCUAUUUGUUUUCGAAGUAUUUGUUAUUAGUAGAACUCACAAAGUGCCCAUUACUCGUUUUGUAUUUGCCUGGUUCUGUCCUACUUCGAAUGCCCUUGCCAAUCCAAAAUCUGAUAUUUUGGGAUUCAUGUCAAGGUCUAGUAGAACGUUGCUGGCUUUGAGAUCUCUAUGAAUUACUCUGAGUUGAGAGUCCUCGUGAAGGUAUAAAAUUCCUCUUGCUAUUCCAUGGAUAAUGCUUAACCUUAGUUUCCAAUCGAAUUGUUUUCUUCUCUCAACAUCUGACAAAACAAUUACAGGACAGAGAUUUGAAAGAAAAAAAAAAAGAAACAGUUAGUGACGCAAAACAAUUGGCAAAUACAUCAAAUGCUAAGAUUUAGCCAUAGGAUUGGAAAAAAAA
This is a long non-coding RNA of Vigna unguiculata (cowpea), 1684 nucleotides long. The record is from RefSeq and is a predicted model, not a curated record. Lineage: Eukaryota; Viridiplantae; Streptophyta; Magnoliopsida; Fabales; Fabaceae.